GAGUUUGAUCUUGGCUCAGGAUGAACGCUAGCGACAGGCCUAACACAUGCAAGUCGAGGGGUAUAGUAGCAAUACUAGAGACCGGCGCACGGGUGCGUAACGCGUAUGUAACCUGCCUCACACUGGGGGAUAGCCUUCCGAAAGGGAGAUUAAUACCGCAUAAUAAUAUAGUCCUGCCUGGGACUGUAUUUAAAACUUCGGUGGUGUGAGAUGGACAUGCGUAUGAUUAGCUAGUUGGCGGGGUAACGGCCCACCAAGGCGACGAUCAUUAGGGGUUCUGAGAGGAAGAUCCCCCACACUGGUACUGAGACACGGACCAGACUCCUACGGGAGGCAGCAGUGAGGAAUAUUGGUCAAUGGGCGAAAGCCUGAACCAGCCAUGUCGCGUGCAGGAAGACGGCCCUAUGGGUUGUAAACUGCUUUUGUAUGGGAAGAAACGACGGUACGUGUACUGUUUUGCCGGUACCAUACGAAUAAGGAUCGGCUAACUCCGUGCCAGCAGCCGCGGUAAUACGGAGGAUCCAAGCGUUAUCCGGAUUUAUUGGGUUUAAAGGGUGCGUAGGCGGGAGAUUAAGUCAGUGGUGAAAGUUUGCGGCUCAACCGUAAAAUUGCCAUUGAUACUGGUUUUCUUGAGUACAGUUGAGGUAGGCGGAAUGUGGUGUGUAGCGGUGAAAUGCUUAGAUAUACCACAGAACACCGAUUGCGAAGGCAGCUUACUAAGUUGUGACUGACGCUGAAGCACGAAAGCAUGGGGAUCAAACAGGAUUAGAUACCCUGGUAGUCCAUGCCGUAAACGAUGAUCACUAGCUGUUUGCGAUAUAUUGUAAGUGGCAAAGGGAAACCAUUAAGUGAUCCACCUGGGGAGUACGCCCGCAAGGGUGAAACUCAAAGGAAUUGACGGGGGCCCGCACAAGCGGAGGAACAUGUGGUUUAAUUCGAUGAUACGCGAGGAACCUUACCUGGAUUUAAAUGGGGAGUGACAGGGGUAGAGAUACCUUUUUCUUCGGACACUCUUCAAGGUGCUGCAUGGUUGUCGUCAGCUCGUGCCGUGAGGUGUCGGGUUAAGUCCCAUAACGAGCGCAACCCACGUUGUUAGUUACCAGCAUGUCAUGAUGGGGACUCUAACAAGACUGCCGGUGUAAACCGCGAGGAAGGUGUGGAUGACGUCAAAUCAGCACGGCCCUUACAUCCAGGGCUACACACGUGUUACAAUGGCCGGUACAGAGGGCAGCUACCCCGCGAGGGGAUGCGAAUCCUAUAAAACCGGUCUCAGUUCGGAUUGGAGUCUGCAACCCGACUCCAUGAAGCUGGAUUCGCUAGUAAUCGCGCAUCAGCCAUGGCGCGGUGAAUACGUUCCCGGGCCUUGUACACACCGCCCGUCAAGCCAUGGGAGCCGGGGGUACCUGAAGUCUGUAACCGCAAGGAGCGGCCUAGGGUAAAACUGGUGACUGGGGCUAAGUCGUAACAAGGUAACCGUA
Molecule: ribosomal RNA, 1478 nt
Filed under: uncultured Bacteroidota bacterium
Lineage: Bacteria; Pseudomonadati; Bacteroidota
Description: bacterial SSU rRNA
Rfam family: Bacterial small subunit ribosomal RNA
Source: RNAcentral